Molecule: ribosomal RNA, 304 nt
Filed under: uncultured bacterium
Lineage: Bacteria
Description: partial 16S ribosomal RNA
Rfam family: Bacterial small subunit ribosomal RNA
Source: RNAcentral
CAGCAGUAGCCGCGGUAAUACGGAGGAUCCAAGCGUUAUCCGGAAUCAUUGGGUUUAAAGGGUCCGUAGGCGGUCUUGUAAGUCAGUGGUGAAAGCCCAUCGCUCAACGGUGGAACGGCCAUUGAUACUGCAGGACUUGAAUUAUUGGGAAGUAACUAGAAUAUGUAGUGUAGCGGUGAAAUGCUUAGAGAUUACAUGGAAUACCAAUUGCGAAGGCAGGUUACUACCAAUUGAUUGACGCUGAUGGACGAAAGCGUGGGUAGCGAACAGGAUUAGAUACCCGCGUAGUCCCUGUCUCUUAUAC